Molecule: long non-coding RNA, 478 nt
Organism: Gasterosteus aculeatus aculeatus (three-spined stickleback)
Lineage: Eukaryota; Metazoa; Chordata; Actinopteri; Perciformes; Gasterosteidae
Source: Ensembl
AUCCGGCAUCGGCGGACUCUCCUCCCGGUGAGGACGGGACCGGAAAACACAUCCAGAAGAACGAAGGAAAAGCUGCGCUCCGAGCAGCCGAUCACUUCACUUAUUUUUGUUUCACUUAAUCGAUACGGUGGGGGGCUGGUGUGCUACGGAGCGACCCUCCGGACUUUCUCCCGGGGGAAGUUGAUCCAGAGUAAGUGCGCCAUGUUCCCGCAGCCAAGCUUCUCCCCGGAGCGGCUUCUCUGUCCGGUGAGGGAGGCGGGGAUCCGGUCUGCUCCACGGCCAGCCUGCAGCAAGGUUUCAAUUACCCGGAUGACAUCACAGGGGAGUUGUGUUACCUGACAGGUCCUCAUGACAGGUCCUCAUCACAAGUCCUCAUGUCAGGUCCUCAAUACAGGUCCUCAUCACAAGUCCUCAUGUCAGGUCCUCAUCACAAGUCCUCAUCACAAGUCCUCAUCACAGGUCCUCAUCACAAGUCCUC